AAGGGAACCAACUACUUGGUGUGGUCUCGGAUGGUGAGAACCACAGUGGGAAGCAAGGGGUUGUGGAAGCACAUCACCCCCGGAGAAGCUCCAAAACUCAUCACUCAAGGAGAGGAUGAUGGUGAGGCUGCAAGCAAGGCAGAAGAGAAGUGGCAUCAAGAGGAUAUGCUGGUGAUGUCUGUGCUUCAUGCGUCACUUGAGCCGGCUAUUCUGGAUGCAUACAGCUACUGUGAGUCUGCUAAGGAGCUGUGGGAUACUUUGAAGAAGGUGUAUGGCAACACAUCAAACCUAAGCCGAGUGUUUGAAGUGAAGCAAGCCAUCAACAACCUUGUACAAGAAGACAUGGAGUUCACCAAGCAUCUAGGGAGAUUCAGGAGUCUCUGGUCCGAGAUGGAGAUGCUUAGGCCAAGCACAACGGAUGCUGAUGAGCUUAACAAGAGGAGAGAGCAAGACAAGGUCUUUGGGCUACUCCUCACGCUGAACCCGGCCUACAACGGUCUCAUCCAGCACCUGCUUAGAGAAGACACUCUACCUGAUCUUGAGGAUGUGUGUGCGCGGAUUCAGAAGGAGCAAGGCUCCAUUGGGUUGUUUGCAAAGAAAGGAGACCUGUCCCUUGCAAGCCAAGCAACUCAAGAGGAAGGUAGUGAAGCUCCACAAGCAAACAAGGCUGCGGCUGCGCAUGGGAAGUUUGAGGAGAGGAGGUUCAAUGGGAGUUGUGAUCACUGCAAGAAGCAUGGCCACAAGAAGAGCCAAUGCUGGAUACUCCAUCCUCACCACAAGCCGGCUAAGUUCAUGAAGGACCGUGAGGCAAGGGCUAAUGUCUCGGAUGGAACAAGUGGAGCUGGUACAAGCAAAGGAAAGGAGAUAGAUGGGCGUGAGGCAGGUGAUGGAAAGUCUCUUGUAGCCUACACUGGAGCAUCAAGCAACCGUGGGAACAAUGAUCAAGAGUAUCUAAGGAGAUCCGACCUUGAUGCUCUCAUUAAGAUGUUCAAGGAGAAUGGUAACAUCUUUGGGUAUUCUUUUGGUGCUAGGCUGAUAGAGAACUAUGAGAAUCUAACUAGAACUGAUAGGAUGCAUGAGAGCUUGAUAGAAAUGGUAAAUCAAUCUAGGACUGCAAACCUUGCUAGAAAUGAUCAUGCAUUCAAACCAUCUAGUAUCCUUGCGCAUAUUGCUAGUUCCCAUGACAUUAAGCCAUUAGUGAUUGAUUCAGGUGCAUCUCAUCAUAUGAUAAGUGACACUUGCUUAAUUAAAAACAUUGUACCAAUGAAUGGAAAUGUACUGAUUGCUAAUGGAGAUAAGAUUCCUAUUAGAGGAAUAGGAAGUCUUAAACUAUUUGAUAAGGAAACUAAAGCUUUUUAUAUGCCUGAAUUCACAUCAAACUUGUUAUCUGUUAAGAAAUGUGCUACUGAUUUGCAAUGCAAUGUUAUAUUCAGUCCUAAUGAUGUGAAGUUUCAGGAUAUUAAAAGCAGCAAGAUGAUUGGAAAGGGAGUGACUAAAGGAGAGCUAUAUUUACUUGAAGAUCUCACUCCUGUUUCUAGAUAUAGCUGCUCAUUUACUUCUGUUUCUAGUUCUGGUUUAAGUAAAAAUGCAUUGUGGCAUGCUAGAUUAGGACACCCUCAUAAUAAGGCUUUAAAACUGAUGUUGCCAGGUGUUUCCUUUGAGAAUAAUGAUUGUGAAGCUUGCAUUUUAGGCAAGCAUUGUAGAACUGUCUUUAACAAGUCUACUACUGUUUAUGAAAAGUGUUUUGAUCUUAUUCAUUCUGAUGUUUGGACUGCACCUUGCCUAUCUAGAGAAAAUCAUAAGUAUUAUGUAACUUUCAUUGAUGAAAAAUCCAAAUACACCUGGUUAACCUUAAUUCCAACCAAAGAUAGGGUACUUGAUGCAUUUAAAAAUUUUCAAUCCUAUGUGACUAACCAUUACAAUGCCAAGAUAAAGAUUUUCAGGUCAGAUAAUGGAGGAGAGUACACGGGACAAGCAUUCAAGCUACACUUAGCUCAGCAUGGAAUUCUUCAUCAGACAAGCUGUCCCUAUACACCACAACAGAAUGGUGUGGCUGAGAGGAAGAACAGGCAUUUGAUGGAAGUAGCCAGGUCCAUGAUGUUUCAAUCCAAUGGGCCUAAGAAGUUUUGGAGUGAUGCUGUUGCUACGGCAUGUUAUCUCAUCAACAGGACACCAACUCUGAUCCUACAAGGACAAUCACCAUUUGAGGUACUGAAUCAGUACAAGCCUUCUCUCGAGCAUAUGAAGGUCUUUGGGUGUUUGUGUUUUGUGAUGGUGCCUGGAGAGAUAAGAAACAAGCUAGAAGCUAAGAGUUCAAAGGCAAUGUUCAUUGGAUACUCAUCAAGUCAGAAAGGAUACAAGUGCUAUGAUCCUAACACAAGGAGAGUGUUAGUAUCUAGAGAAGUGAAGUUUGUUGAAGAGAAAGGAUAUUAUGAGGAACAGAUUCAAGAAGACUUGAAGGAUCUUACCUCUGAUAGAGCUGAAACCUUGAGGAUUAUCCUAGAAGGCCUUGGAAUCAACAUGAACCAAGGACAUCAAGGGGGGAGAAGCACUACCCCAGUCCCGGAUCAUCAGACUUCCAACCUUGACCAUGAAGGGGGGAAUGAAACAAGAACUCCAAACCGUGAAGAAACAAGUAGAGAAGAGAGUUCUGGCUCUCAUGAUCAAGCUGUGGAAUCAAAUGAUCAAGAAGAAGGAGCUGAAGAGAGUCAGCUAAGGGAAGAAGGAGCUGAAGCAAGUCAGCUAGGAGAAGAAAGAUCUGAAACAAGUGUGCAGCCACAAGAAGAAGAACAAGAGAUGGCGCAAGAAGGGCCAGUAUUGAGAAGAAGUACAAGGCUGAGAAAGGAUCCUUCCAGUUGGGUAAACACAAGAGUGUACUACAAUGCCCAAGCUGUGAAGCAUCCUACUCAGGCCGUGUGUUCUUUUGCUCAAUAUCCAGAAGCACAUUGCGCAUUCAUGGUAAACUUGGAUGAAAAUCACAUUCCAAGGAGCUAUGAAGAGGCAAUGGAGGAUAAGGAAUGGAAGGAAUCAGUAGGAGCUGAGGCAGGAGCUAUGAUAAAGAAUGAUACAUGGUAUGAGAGUGAACUACCAAAAGGGAAGAAAGCUGUGUCUAGUAGAUGGAUCUUUACAAUCAAGUACAAGGCUGAUGGGUCUAUUGAGAGGAAGAAGACUAGACUAGUAGCAAGAGGGUUCACUCAGACAUAUGGAGAGGAUUACAUUGAAACAUUUGCACCAAUGGCCAAGCUACACACCAUUAGGAUUGUUUUAAGCUUGGCUGUGAACCUUGGAUGGGGAUUAUGGCAAAUGGAUGUAAAGAAUGCAUUUCUACAAGGAGAACUUGAGGAUGAAGUCUAUAUGUAUCCUCCAUCAGGAUUGGAACAUCUAGUGAAGAGGGGGAAUGUACUGAGGCUAAAGAAAGCUAUUUAUGGGUUGAAGCAAUCACCAAGAGCUUGGUAUAACAAGUUGAGCACAACUUUGAACGGCCGAGGCUUCAAGAAGUCAGAGUUGGAUCACACUCUCUUUACACUCACGACACCCUCAGGUAUGGUUGCUCUCCUUGUGUAUGUGGAUGAUAUCAUUAUCACAGGAAGUGAUAAGGAAGGUAUCAAAGCAACCAAGGAGUUUCUAAAGACUAUGUUUGAAAUCAAAGACUUGGGAGAAAUGAAAUACUUCCUUGGAAUUGAGAUUUGUAGAUCCAAGGAAGGUUUGUUCAUGUCCCAAAGAAAGUAUACACUUGAUCUUUUGAAAGAUGCAGGUGCUUAUGGAGGCAAGACAGCAAGGAUGCCAAUGGAGGAUGGCUACAAAGUACCAAGAGAGGGGGAGAUUGAAGACAGCAAGCCAUUUCAUGAUCCUAAACUCUAUAGAAAACUUGUUGGCAAAUUAAUUUAUCUUACCAUCACAAGACCUGAUAUAUGCUUUGCUGUGAAUCAGGUGAGUCAACACAUGCAGCUUCCCAAGGAACAUCAUUGGCGUAUGGUGGAGAGGCUGCUGAUGUAUCUAAAUGGCUCGCCAGAUCAAGGGGUUUGGAUGGGAUGCAAUGGAAGCUCAGAAGUGGUGGGCUAUUGUGAUGCUGAUUGGGCAGGAGAUAGAGCUGAUAGGAGAUCAACUACUGGCUAUUGUACUUUCAUUGGAGGCAACUUGGUGACUUGGAAGAGCAAGAAGCAGAAGGUGGUGUCAUGUUCAAGUGCUGAAGCUGAGUAUAGAGCCAUGCUGAAGCUGACAAACGAGUUGGUGUGGAUCAAAGGCAUCUUGAAGCACUUGGAGAUUGAUCAAGCCACUCCAAUGACAAUGCAUUGUGACAACCAAGCUGCCAUUCACAUUGCAUCCAACUCAGUGUUCCAUGAGAGGACCAAGCACAUUGAGGUUGAUUGCCACAAGGUGAGACAGAUGAUUGUGCUUGGAGUGAUCUUACCUUGCUAUACAAGAAGUGAAGAUCAGUUGGCUGAUGUGUUUACCAAGGCGGCGAGACAAAAGACUAUGGAGUCCAUUCACAUUAGAUUGGGACUCAUAGAUCUUGGGAAGAGAAGGAGCUGAUCCCCUUAGCUGUGAGAUCUUUACUCUUUUUCCCUCAUUAAGGUUUUAUCCCAAUGGGUUUUCCUUAGUGAGGUUUUUAAUGAGGAAGAUCUCAUGGCUGUCCAAGCUUAGGCUUUCACAAAGCUAAGCUUGAGGGGGAGUGUUGAGAAGAAUGCACUAUAAUAUGAAGAAGAAGUUCAAGAGGGUGUAGAAGUGUUGAGGAGUUAAUAAGCAAGCAAGAGAAGGAUCAUGUACGGACAGACAGUACGGAUAGGGAGAGCAGUACGGACGCAGGCCGUACCAACGACCAUCCGCAAGAAGUAACUCGGCCAAGGUGAAAUGUAAACAGGCUGGAGUUACUUUACCUUUCUUACCAUGAGCUGAUCAUUAGAAGGAUAAGGGAGGCGCGUCUGACAGGCUGUCAUAAGCUGGAAAGGUAAAGGCAUAGUCAAAGAUGCUUUACACAUGUGGAGACUCUCAUUGGAAGGAUUCAAAUGAUCUCUUAGCUGGUUAUUGACCUCACAUGCUUUCUACUUUGUGUAAUCGAAACCCUAGUGUCUUAAGCUUCCUAUAUAAGUGUAAACUCUCUCAUUAAUAAGAUUAAGCAAGUUAUGAGUCUCUCUUAGUCUCUCUUUAGUUCUUUAGACUCUUAAUCUCAUUUCAUACUUUAAUCUUCUCUAAAUCUCCUCUAAUCUUUCCUAAAUACUCAGAUCACUCUAAACAUCACUAAAAGUGAUAUGGUAUCAGAGCCAGGUUAGUGAGAGCCUGAGGUCGUGUGUGAUUCUUUGAAGCCUCAAGGUUGAAGCUUUGAAGAAACUCUUGUGUUCUUGUGUGUUUGAGAGUUUCUGGGUACUUUUCAAGUUCAAGACUGGUUGUGGUGUAUCAUCUGAAGCUGUGUGGGUUGAAGAUCGAGGCUGUGAAGGGUUCUACAAGUCAUUCAACUCAAGAUAAAGUUUCUGAAGCUUAGAGAGUUCAUCAUUCAACAUGGAGAGUGGGAUGAACAUGAACAUGAAGGUAGCUGUGAUCUUCAAGGGAACCAACUACUUGGUGUGGUCUCGGAUGGUGAGAACCACGGUGGGAAGCAAGGGGUUGUGGAAGCACAUCACCCCCGGAGAAGCUCCAAAACUCAUCACUCAAGGAGAGGAUGAUGGUGAGGCUGCAAGCAAGGCGGAAGAGAAGUGGCAUCAAGAGGAUAUGCUGGUGAUGUCUGUGCUUCAUGCGUCACUUGAGCCGGCUAUUCUGGAUGCAUACAGCUACUGUGAGUCUGCUAAGGAGCUGUGGGAUACGUUGAAGAAGGUGUAUGGCAACACAUCAAACCUAAGCCGAGUGUUUGAAGUGAAGCAAGCCAUCAACAACCUUGUACAAGAAGACAUGGAGUUCACCAAGCAUCUAGGGAGAUUCAGGAGCCUCUGGUCCGAGAUGGAGAUGCUUAGGCCAAGCACAACGGAUGCUGAUGAGCUGAACAAGAGGAGAGAGCAAGACAAGGUCUUUGGGCUACUCCUCACGCUGAACCCGGCCUACAACGGUCUCAUCCAGCACCUGCUUAGAGAAGACACUCUACCUGAUCUUGAGGAUGUGUGUGCGCGGAUUCAGAAGGAGCAAGGCUCCAUUGGGUUGUUUGCAAAGAAAGGAGACCUGUCCCUUGCAAGCCAGGCUCCAUUGGGUUGUUUGCAAAGAAAGGAGACCUGUCCCUUGCAAGCCAAGCAACUCAAGAGGAAGGUAGUGAAGCUCCACAAGCAAACAAGGCUGCGGCUGCGCAUGGGAAGUUUGAGGAGAGGAGGUUCAAUGGGAGUUGUGAUCACUGCAAGAAGCAUGGCCACAAGAAGAGCCAAUGCUGGAUACUCCAUCCUCACCUCAAGCCGGCUAAGUUCAUGAAGGACCGUGAGGCAAGGGCUAAUGUCUCGGAUGGAACAAGUGGAGCUGGUACAAGCAAAGGAAAGGAGAUAGAUGGGCGUGAGGCAGGUGAUGGAAAGUCUCUUGUAGCCUACACUGGAGCAUCAAGCAACCGUGGGAACAAUGAUCAAGAGUAUCUAAGGAGAUCCGACCU
This 6559-nucleotide long non-coding RNA is filed under the name Brassica napus (rape). RNAcentral's name for it is "long non-coding RNA (BNAP_LNC022891)". Lineage: Eukaryota; Viridiplantae; Streptophyta; Magnoliopsida; Brassicales; Brassicaceae. The record is from RNAcentral.